GAGCUCAACAACAGCUGCAGGAGCGGGAGCUACUGCUGGCCAGCAGCGCAUGGUCAUGCCCCUCCGCCUCUACUUUGUCUGGCAGGCAGGAGGCACCAGAAAGUUUAAGCAAAAAAAAAAGUGCCCGUGACUUAUCAAUGUCUUGGCCGACGAGGGCGCCGAGAAUAUGUUUUUGGUCUGCUAGAGAAUUUGCCUCUUCAAAUGUUGUGUAAACCUUUUUGGAUGAGGGAAUAUUUUUUUAGAAUGUGCACAUAAGGUACUUCUCAGAGAACAUUUAAGGAUGGAGAUUUAUGCCCAUUUUGAUGGGAAAGGUGCUUCCAUGGACUUCUUAGACGGGGAUUGUGAGGAGAGACCGAGACAGAUGAGAGCUGGGUAGAGAAAUGGCGAGGGACGAAAUGCCACGAUCUGCAACCUGCUAACCAUUGUGGCUAAGGACGAAGGGGAAUCAUGUUAUGUCUAUCUUAAAAUAAGUUCGAGGAAUAAACCUUAUAAUGGGCCAUGGAAAGAUUCAUCAAGAAAUGAGAGAAGUGACUGAGACGAGAAAAGAUGACAUCGAAUUACACGCACCGAACGUCCGGACCAUGUGUCCGAUGGCUUGAUUAUGAUGUCUUCAUUGUAGGGAUUUCCUAUUCAUGUAUUAUUCAAAGUCAAGCUUAGUGAAUUGCACUAGUGCACAUGUGUUUCUGAAGCAGGGUUAUACCUAGAAUUAAAGACUAAGGAAGCUUGUCUUAAUUGGUGUCAUGGAGAUGUCAUGGAGAGAAUGGGUAUGUUCAGAACUUACAGUAGUGAUGACCUUUGUUGGUGGCUUCAGAUCUGUGGUAUCAUAUUUAUUGUGAAUAUCAAUUUUGCACUGAUCAUGACCAAGUAGAACAGAGAUAAAUGUCUCAUAAAAACUUCACAUGAGAUAUUUAGGCUGGUGUCGGUUCAGGUAUUAUAGUUUACCCAUUUGAAUAUACAAUAUUGUGGGAAUUUUCAUUUAGUUUCUCUUUUUUCUAUAAACAAUGCACCACUUUGAACCUCUGUUGUAUACGAUUCAUUUUGAGGAAUUCUGAGUCAUAUUUUCAUUAUACUUACUAUUGUUUAUCAACUAGAAAAGAAGGAUCUCCCAAUGUAGUAACGAAUACCAAACAUGGGAUACUUGCCAUGUCCGUGCUCAAUAUAAAGCAGCUUCCCUGGACAAUGAUGCUCUUGUCCUACUACCAUGGAAAUACUGAUAUGCUAAGCACUGCCCUUUAACCAUAAUUAUGGGUCUUAAAUAUUGACCACAAAGAAACAACAUUUUAAUGAUUGAUUGCUUCAGUGCCUAUUUUCUAGAGAUUUUUCAUGUUAUCUUGCAUAUUUUUUUCUUAUUUGUGAGUGUUGUGAUCAGCAAGGACUUCAUUGGGCUUAUUCGAAGAUCUUAUCUACUUUUACUCACCUGCUUCGUCUUACGAUUUUUUUAUUGCCUAAAUAAAAUUCAUAGGCCUCUCAAUUUGAUAUGUGCUCACUCUAAUUG
Molecule: long non-coding RNA, 1495 nt
Organism: Lolium rigidum
Lineage: Eukaryota; Viridiplantae; Streptophyta; Magnoliopsida; Poales; Poaceae
Exons: 8
Source: RefSeq, a predicted model, not a curated record